CCUUCAAUGGAGUUCUAAGCAAGAAGGCAGAUCUUACAAAAGUGAACGCACUCAUUCAGCUCCCCAGCCGGAACCUCACCCACGGCUGCUGUGAAGAUGCGAGGAAAUGAAACGCGAGGCGCUUUGCAGCUGCUGGAAAGUCAUGCAAACACAGUGGACUGUUUUGUUGUGGACUUCAGAGCAAACUCUCACAAAUCAAACCCUUCAAUGAAUGUUGCCAGCUCCAUCUUCCAAAAAGAUCCCACAUCUAACCACUUCUGUCAUCUCAGCCACUGCCACCUGGUCCAAGCCAACGACAGCCUCGGCUCUUGUCACAGCCCCUGCGGUCUCUGCCGGCCCCGCAAGCCAGAGCGCCCCGCCUCACUCGGGACAGAGCCCGGCACACUCUUCCCACGGCUACGGAACCUGUGCGAUCCGGCUGCUCCCUCUCUGCUUUCUGACCCCCUCUUUCUGACCCCCUCGUAGCACAGACCACCACGAGGAGUGUGAUGCGUGUAUUCUCCCGGUUGUAUGGCCUUUCUCUCCUGCUAACACCUAAGAGCUGUCCGUCUGUGUGGUGCCCAUCUCCUGGGCCUAGAACGGUGCACAGCACCUAGCAAGUGUUCAAUAAACACAAGAAGGAAGGGAAGGAGAGACAGAGGGGGUCAGGCAGGCAGGUGGCAAGUAGGCUGGCUGGGUUUGCCUAUGGAGUCCUCAUUUGCCCCACUGUUCCUCAUUAAAAGAAAACCUUUAGACAAAUCAAGUUUAACAGAGUUUAAUUGAGCAAAGGACAAUUUGCAAACCGUGCAACCCCCAGAACCAGAGUCGUUCAGAAUGACUCCCAGGCUGCCUCGUGGUCAGAUAACACACACAGGCAG
This is a non-coding RNA of Microcebus murinus (gray mouse lemur), 857 nucleotides long. NCBI's taxonomy places the organism in Eukaryota, Metazoa, Chordata, Mammalia, Primates, Cheirogaleidae. The record is from RefSeq and is a predicted model, not a curated record.